Molecule: long non-coding RNA, 507 nt
Organism: Daphnia pulex (common water flea)
Lineage: Eukaryota; Metazoa; Arthropoda; Branchiopoda; Diplostraca; Daphniidae
Exons: 2
Source: RefSeq, a predicted model, not a curated record
UAAACGUAUUUAAACUGAGGAGAAAAUUAUCAAAGCUAAGCCGUCUAGCGUCAGAAAAAAGAAACGUUUACAUGAAAACAAUGUCCGCUCUAGCUCUUUGACAGUUGAAAGAAAGAACUAACAAACGAAGGCAAAUAACUUUGAUACUCACGUUAUAUUCUCCCCUCCAAAUUUACAUCUCGUCUUCACCAAAAAGCCACCACCUCAGCAUCACACAUCACCACAGACGAAAGCACCACUGAGAUUGCUGAGGAACUAUCGUAGCUAAUACUUUCCACCGGCUGGUUGUAAUGCAACAAAGAAGCUCAGACUUUACUAGGUUGUUAAUCCUAUUAGUUGCCAACUUGCGAAAGAAGAUUAAACGAAGAAAUUAAAGAAGAGAAAAAGAUUAAAAGAACGAUUCAUAUGGCUCAGUUUGCGUUGGCAUCAAUCCGCCAAGCGGAAACAAGUGAUUUUAAGAAAUAACAAAAUUUCCUUAAUUGCUUUAGUUUAUUUUUUUUUUUCGAU